AGUGGCAGACGGGUGAGUAACACGUGGGAAUCUUCCUAUCGGUACGGAAUAGCUCAGGGAAACUUGGGGUAAUACCGCAUACGCCCUUCGGGGGAAAGAUUUAUCGCCGAUAGAUGAGCCCGCGUCUGAUUAGCUAGUUGGUGAGGUAAUGGCUCACCAAGGCGACGAUCAGUAGCUGGUCUGAGAGGAUGACCAGCCACACUGGGACUGAGACACGGCCCAG
RNAcentral lists this ribosomal RNA (223 nucleotides) under uncultured bacterium. RNAcentral's name for it is "partial 16S ribosomal RNA". It matches the Rfam family "Bacterial small subunit ribosomal RNA", at positions 94 to 334 of the family's 1533-position model. The record is from RNAcentral.